RNAcentral lists this ribosomal RNA (497 nucleotides) under uncultured bacterium. RNAcentral describes it as "partial 16S ribosomal RNA". It matches the Rfam family "Bacterial small subunit ribosomal RNA", at positions 28 to 507 of the family's 1533-position model. The record is from RNAcentral.
GAUGAACGCUGGCGGCGUGCCUAAUACAUGCAAGUCGAGCGAACGGACGAGAAGCUUGCUUCUCUGAUGUUAGCGGCGGACGGGUGAGUAACACGUGGAUAACCUACCUAUAAGACUAGGAUAACUUCGGGAAACCGGAGCUAAUACCGGAUAAUAUUUUGAACCGCAUGGUUCAAAAGUGAAAGACGGUCUUGCUGUCACUUAUAGAUGGAUCCGCGCUGCAUUAGCUAGUUGGUAAGGUAACGGCUUACCAAGGCAACGAUGCAUAGCCGACCUGAGAGGGUGAUCGGCCGCACUGGAACUGAGACACGGUCCAGACUCCUACGGGAGGCAGCAGUAGGGAAUCUUCCGCAAUGGGCGAAAGCCUGACGGAGCAACGCCGCGUGAGUGAUGAAGGUCUUCGGAUCGUAAAACUCUGUUAUUAGGGAAGAACAUAUGUGUAAGUAACUGUGCACAUCUUGACGGUACCUAAUCAGAAAGCCACGGCUAACUACGUG